Molecule: long non-coding RNA, 596 nt
Filed under: Oryzias javanicus (javanese ricefish)
Lineage: Eukaryota; Metazoa; Chordata; Actinopteri; Beloniformes; Adrianichthyidae
Description: lncRNA (ENSOJAG00000020154.1)
Source: RNAcentral
AUUUGACGGGCUAGGUUCGAUAGUUCCACUUAGUGUUUUAGCAAUUGGGAAAAACUGUAAUUCUUAAUUUAUUUUCAUCUCUGGUUUCUUCAAUCCAGGAACAUCCACCGCUAAAACCUCGGCCUACAUUUUAUCCGUCCACUCAGCCUCUGUUAACCUCAACUCUACUUCAGCAAAAAAUCCCACCCGUGACUUCUACCCCUCAGUCGCCUUACCCGAAAGACAGCCCAGGUUUGGUAUGUCAUCUGGACUUCAGAAAAGUGUCAACAGAAUCCCUGGAUUCCCUAAGCCAGUCGUCCGCUAAGUCAGCGGAAAUCAGCAAUAGAAGCUUCAAGGAGAGCCCCAAUGUUCCAGUGAUGGUCCCCCUCGAAAGAGAGCAAACACCCCUGACAGCUCAGGACCUGGAUGUUUCACAGCCUUUUAUUUCAGGGCCAAGUCGCAAGCGCCAUAGCUCAACUUCCAGUAAUUCUGAUGAAGAAAAGAAGAAUAGAUAUGGGAAGGAAAAAAAGAAGGAAAGCCAGUUUCGAAUGAAGCGCUCUCCUCGAAUCAAACCAAGGAAGCUCUUCAAGUCAUGUAACUCCUUCCAUGUUCUUUGA